GAUGAACGCUGGCGGCGUGCCUAACACAUGCAAGUCGUACGAGCUCGAUCUUCGGAACGGGUUAGUGGCGCACGGGUGAGUAACACGUAGGUGACCUACCCCAGAGUGGGGGAUAACUUCUCGAAAGAGAGGCUAAUACCGCAUACACUCGGUCAUUCAUUUGGCCGAGCAAAGCUCCGGCGCUUUGGGACGGGCCUGCGUCCGAUUAGCUAGUUGGUAGGGUAAUGGCUUACCAAGGCUUUGAUCGGUAGCUGGUCUGAGAGGACGAUCAGCCACACUGGCACUGACACACGGGCCAGACUCCUACGGGAGGCAGCAGUGAGGAAUAUUGGGCAAUGGGCGAAAGCCUGACCCAGCAACGCCGCGUGAGGGAUGAAGGCCUUCGGGUUGUAAACCUCUUUCUGGGAGAAGAGACAAGGACGGUAUCCCAGGAAUAAGUACUCGGCUAACUACGUGCCAGCAGCCGCGGUAAU
RNAcentral lists this ribosomal RNA (473 nucleotides) under uncultured bacterium. RNAcentral's name for it is "bacterial SSU rRNA". It matches the Rfam family "Bacterial small subunit ribosomal RNA", at positions 28 to 524 of the family's 1533-position model. The record is from RNAcentral.